This 465-nucleotide ribosomal RNA is filed under the name uncultured bacterium. RNAcentral's name for it is "partial 16S ribosomal RNA". It matches the Rfam family "Bacterial small subunit ribosomal RNA", at positions 28 to 507 of the family's 1533-position model. The record is from RNAcentral.
GACGAACGCUGGCGGCGUGCUUAACACAUGCAAGUCGAACGGAAAGGCCCCCUUGUGGGGUACUCGAGUGGCGAACGGGUGAGUAACACGUGAGUAACCUACCCUUGACUUUGGGAUAACUUCAGGAAACUGGGGCUAAUACCGGAUAGGAGCUCCUGCUGCAUGGUGGGGGUUGGAAAGUUUCGGCGGUUGGGGAUGGACUCGCGGCUUAUCAGCUUGUUGGUGGGGUAGUGGCUCACCAAGGCUUUGACGGGUAGCCGGCCUGAGAGGGUGACCGGCCACAUUGGGACUGAGAUACGGCCCAGACUCCUACGGGAGGCAGCAGUGGGGAAUAUUGCACAAUGGGCGGAAGCCUGAUGCAGCAACGCCGCGUGCGGGAUGACGGCCUUCGGGUUGUAAACCGCUUUCGCCUGUGACGAAGCGUGAGUGACGGUAAUUGGUAAAGAAGCACCGGCUAACUACGUG